AUUGAACGCUGGCGGCAUGCCUUACACAUGCAAGUCGAACGGUAACAGGUCUUCGGAUGCUGACGAGUGGCGAACGGGUGAGUAUACAACGGGAAGGGGCUUGGAGGGGGGGGUUAACUAUUGGAAAGAGGGGCAAUAACCGCAGGGGAUCUACGGUGGAAAGCAGGGGAUCGCAAGCCCUCGUCUUCCUAAGGCGGCCGAUGGAAGAUUAGGUGGUUGGUGGGAUAAAAGCUUACAAAGCCGACGAUCUGUAGCUGGUCUGAGAGGACGAUCAGCCACACUGGGACUGAGACACGGCCCAGACUCCUACGGGAGGCAGCAGUGGGGAAUUUUGGACAAUGGGCGAAAGCCUGAUCCAGCAAUGCCGCGUGCAGGAUGAAGGCCUUCGGGUUGUAAACUGCUUUUGUACGGAACGAAAAGCCCUGGGUUAAUACCCUGGGGUCAUGACGGUACCGUAAGAAUAAGCACCGGCUAACUACGUGCCAGCCGCCGCGGUAA
RNAcentral lists this ribosomal RNA (498 nucleotides) under uncultured bacterium. RNAcentral describes it as "partial 16S ribosomal RNA". It matches the Rfam family "Bacterial small subunit ribosomal RNA", at positions 29 to 523 of the family's 1533-position model. The record is from RNAcentral.